CAUUCUUCCAUCACUUUCCAUUCACUUACUCUUCCCUAAUAGAAGCCUUCCUUUACAACAGAUAGGUAGAGCUGAGCAAAUCAGUGCCACCUAUUAGUCAUGUCUAGAGACACGUCUAAUUUGUCGUCUUUCGCUGAUGGAUUACUGCUCUGCCGAGAGGCCGCGGGCAUACAGCCCAGCGGGCAUUCUGGCUGGGAAGCUGAAGACAUCAUUGACCCCUUAGUAGCGCAGGCUUCUGAAGUGGCUGCAACCUCUCCUGCCUCAAAACCUCACCCACCAGUGGUGGGCAAAGUGACUCAUCACAGCAUUGAACUAUACUGGGAUUUGGACAAGAAAAUCCAAAGAAAAGGACCUCAGGAACAGUGGUUAAGGUUUUCAAUUGAAGAGGAGGACCCCAAAAUGCACACUUAUGGUAUCAUUUAUACGGGGUAUUCUACGAAGCACGUUGUAGAAGGUCUGGAGCCUAGAACGUUGUAUAAAUUUCGAUUAAAGGUCACAAAGCCCUCUGGAGAAUAUCACUAUAGCCCAGUUAUCUCAGUGUCUACGACCAGGGAGCCCAUAAGUAGUGAGCAUUUCCAUCGAGCUGUAAAUGUGAAUGAUGAAGACCUGCUUGUCCAGAUACUUCAAGGAGGCCAUGUUAAGGUUGAUGUUCCAAAUAAGCUUGGCUUUACUGCCCUGAUGGUGGCUGCCCAGAAAGGUUACAUACAACUAGUGAAGAUCCUGAUCGGUAAUGGGACAGAUGUGAACCUGAAGAAUGGAAGUGGGAAGGACAGUCUGAUGCUUGCCUGUUAUGCUGGACACCUGGAUGUUGUCAAAUACCUCAGAGCACAUGGAGCCUCUUGGGAGGCCCAAGACCUGGGAGGCUGCACAGCCUUGCACUGGGCUGCUGAUGGAGGUCACUCUGACAUCAUCGAAUGGAUGAUUAAGGAUGGUUGCAAGAUAGAUGUUUUAGACACUGGUUCGGGAUGGACACCACUGAUGAGAGUAUCUGCAGUAUCAGGAAACAGAGAGGUGGCUUCCCUCUUAAUUGAAGCUGGAGCAGAUGUGAAUGUGAAAGAUAAGGAUGGGAAGACACCCUUAAUGGUACCUUUUUACGGCCCAGGGCCUCACGGUGUCUCUGCACGUAAGGUGGCUGUAUUAAAUAAUCAUGAAGAAUUGGUUCAACUGCUUCUCGAAAAAGGAGCAGAUCCAAGUGUUACAAAUGAGUUUGGCAAAGGUGUCUUGGAGAUGGCCCGCGUGUUUGACAGACAGAACGUGAUCGCCUUGUUAGAAGACCGGAAGGCAAGUCUUGGCCUGAAGAAGACCUCUUUCUUGAGCUGAGCUGAGAGCUGCUCUUCUCAGGACAUGCACGUGAAGGACGCGGCACCUGGACGCAGGGCUUUAGACAAGCCCUUUGUCUGGGAAGGAAGGUCCCAGAUACGUUUGUGAAUUUCAUUUUUGACAAAGGCCACUAACAACUCCCAAUUCUGUCAGUUUCUAAUAUGAUGACAGAGACAAAAGGGAGACUGAGCAUAUGGGUGGGUCAAUGGCUUGAGCCUUUUUUCCCCCAUUGGAAAACCCCAGACCUUUGAUGCAUGUGAUAAUGAGAGCCUGACAAUCAAAGGAAAUUUGGGCACAAAAUGCCAGUUUUUGCAAGUUUUAAUAGACUCACAAAUGUAGGACUGGAGGGUCAUCAAGAGGUCAUCAGGUCCAACCCUGAAGCUGAGACGUGAUUUGAACCUGGGUCUUCCUGGCUCCAAGUUCAACACCCUAUCCCCUGUGCCUGUCCCGAGAGCCUCAGCCCUGGGAAAAGGGUCAGAGUAUUUCCUAAUGUUGCCCUGAUGGGCUCUUCUGUUUGCCCCUUGUAUUCUGUCCUCUUCGGAAAGUAUCACUGGCCAAGGAACUCCCCAAACCAGGAACCACUCCUUCGUCUCUUAGCGCCUUCCAAAGAUGAGUGGGGAUCAAGAAAGAUCAACCAAUCAACAGCGAGAUAGAAACAUCCCCUUUAAAACAGCUCCCUGGGGACACGCGCGCCGCCCUAAGCAAUUGAACAGCCUCUUCGCGCUGUUGCUGCAAGGGUUUUCUAAGUCACGCUUUAUUUAAGUAAAAGGAUUUUGUCCCUACUCUUUGUUUUAAUCUAUCAGGAAACAUUGGUUUCCAGUUUUGUUGCCGAAUCAAACAUCCCACAAACCUUCCCCCUCUGGUUUCUAUCCCAAGGUGAACGCGCAGAAUCAAUCUAGAAUUGGUGUAGCGACCUUCCGUUGACUGGAGGAGCAUUGUCCUGGGAGUCCCUAUCCCAGCCCGCUCCAGAGCCUACUGUCACACCAUCCUAGAGUUCAAAAGGAGGAAAAUGCUUUUGUGACCAUUUUGGGUACAGGGUCUCGCAUACAGUAGGCGCUUCACAGUUGCUGAGUAGGUUGGUUUGGAUUGGUUCCUUCUCACCAGGGCCCAGUGGAUCGCGUGCUGGACAUCUGUCUUUAAUUUGCUCUCUCUCCCCACCCCACCCCAAUAUCUCGGGGACAUCCUCAGCAAGGACAGAGACAAACUGUACCUACAUGUUCACGGUUUAUUGGAUAUAGUAUUCUUAACAACGACGGCUUUUCUAUUGAAACACCAGGUUGUAUUCACCUGUAGCACCUUAAUACAAGGAAUGUGUACAAAAGUAACACCAACUGUAACAUAAGAAAGUUUGUGAAGAAGUCUAGUGAAUAAAAGCUUUGUAAAUGGAUGCAGCAUGCUAGCAGGAACGUGCUGGGGGAGGUGGCCGGCCCCUUCCCUGGACUGACCGGAGACCGGCACCAGCACCAGCACCGGCACUGACCAUUUCAGACAUGACACUUGGCAGUUGCUGCACAUUUGAUAACAAUAGAAUAUUUGUCCACCCCCCCCCUCCUUUCCCUUCCACAGCCAGCCCAUCCAACAGAAAGUCCGGAACUCUUGCCUUAGUCCUGCCUUUGUCAUCAUCUAUGUUAUCUCAGAGCCUUAAAGUGCUUUCUAUGGAAGCCUUCCUGGGACUGCCAAUGACAUCAUUACCCUCAGCCAGCAGCACUCAUACUCUUCACUUCGUAAAAAAAUAAUCAUCGCCUGCCCAUUUGUGGUUCUGCCCUGGCUUAGUUAGACCUGGGAGGAAUUGUGGACUUUGGAAGAAGGAGGCCCUGGAGAAAUUCUGUUAACAAGAGUUGUUUAUGGCAAUGUGGGACAGGGAGCUGUUUACAAGGCAUCCCAAGUCAGCCUGAGGGAUUGAUUUGUUGUGUUCCCCACUGCUGGGUAAUGGGUCUGUUCUCAUACUGCAGGUCUGACACCCUCUGACUCUCAGUAGAUAUUGUCCCUGUGGGUAUGUUUCCAGCCAAAGAUACUAAGUGCAGAUAGAUAGGAAAGAAACCCUUAGGAGCUGAGAAACAUCUCCUGCUAUUGCUCUUCCCAAAAUAUAGAAAGGAACACUUCAUCUUGCGUAAAUUUGGUGAAAUUGAACUUUCAAAUAAUAGGAACAAAGUCAAAUGACUGUCUUAAGAACAAUUUAGGAAGGGGUCUGAAGACCUCUCUCUGCAGGCAAACAGACUCCAUGGAAACAUCUCAGAAUGACAAGGAACAGUAUGGAGGAAACAGAUUUUCACAUCUUUCUCAGACCGUGGCCUUCAUCAUUAUUAACACUGAUGUCUAAUCUCAUUGUAAAACAACAUUGAACUUUGAAGCAGAUGCAUGAAGAGUGCAGAGGUUGGGAAAAUCAGGGAUUUCAGUGUUUGGCUCUCCUGGACAAAGAAUGCUCUCGAGUUUUUUCCAAGGACCCUCUGGAAAUGCAGGCAGCCUUCACUGAGCCCCCUGGUGGGCUCUGAUUUCCUUCAAGGCAGAGCCUUUGUUGAACAGUUCAAUAAUGUCGCAUAUUUGCCAAAGGCCAUGGAAAAUUCUAUGCUUUUGGAACUGUAUGAAUGGGUCUAGCAGAUAAAUCAUCCAGAGGGAAGAGCCAGCAAAGCCAGGGAAUUGAGAUUAUCUGUGAAAUGAUGGCAGCCUGCGGGGAUCACCAGUUUGGCUGAUCCAUUCAGUUUGAGAGGAGCUCUCCAACUAUAUGAGAUACGUGGAAGAAUCAGAACUAGGUUUUCAAGGCUGGGGCAGGACAAGAUGAGCAGCUGAGUUUCAGCAGCAACUUUGUGUGAAGUUUUAUUCAGUGGUUGCCCUUCAUGGGUGAAUGAGGCCCUGUCAGAAGAGGACUUAGCUAGUCAUGGCAGGAGGGCAGGCAGCUGGCUGGUCCAUAGAAUUGUCACAGUGCCUGGAAUUGCCACCAGAAUGCCACUCCUCUGGAUGGAGGUGAUGAACACCAAAGCCCUCAUUGAUCCCCCAUGUGUUUGCUAGUAUGAUGAUGUCAAUCUAGGAAUGGCAAGGCAGAGUAGUGGAUGGAGCAACCCUAACCUCCCGAGUUAAAAUCCAACCUCAGGUACUUACUAGUUUUGUGACCCUGCACAAAUCACAACCUUAGUUUCCUCAUCUGUACA
Non-coding RNA from Phascolarctos cinereus (koala), 4466 nucleotides. The record is from RefSeq and is a predicted model, not a curated record. Lineage: Eukaryota; Metazoa; Chordata; Mammalia; Diprotodontia; Phascolarctidae.